UGGCCAGAAUCAUCCCAGCUUUGAUGCCCCACCUCCUGAAAGUCAACCAGGAGAGGUUCCAUUAUACUGAACUGCUUACCUAGGAAUCCAUUCAG
Non-coding RNA from Pogona vitticeps (central bearded dragon), 95 nucleotides. The record is from RefSeq and is a predicted model, not a curated record. NCBI's taxonomy places the organism in Eukaryota, Metazoa, Chordata, Lepidosauria, Squamata, Agamidae.